UACAGUCAUAUCACAUUGAAACACCAGUUCUCGUACAAUCACUGAAGUUAAGCAACAUAGUGUCUGGUCAGUACCUAGAUGGGUGACUGCUUAAGAACACCAGGU
This is a non-coding RNA of Acanthosepion pharaonis, 105 nucleotides long. Lineage: Eukaryota; Metazoa; Mollusca; Cephalopoda; Sepiida; Sepiidae. The record is from the annotation of a GenBank genome assembly.